This 441-nucleotide long non-coding RNA is filed under the name Musa acuminata (dwarf banana). RNAcentral describes it as "long non-coding RNA (MACU_LNC010863)". The record is from RNAcentral. Lineage: Eukaryota; Viridiplantae; Streptophyta; Magnoliopsida; Zingiberales; Musaceae.
GAAGGAUGGCUGCGGCAUGGGCUGCAGUGAGAAGGUGUGGGGUGUCGGGUAGGAGAAGGGAAGAAGAGGAGAAGAAGAAGGAUUAGAAGGAGAAGAAGAAGAAGAAGAGGAGGAGAAGAAGUAGAAGCGGGUGAAGAGGCGGCACCUCUGUUUCCUGCAAGAGGAAACAGAGGAGAGGAGGUGCUGCGCAUCGGGGAGAAGAAGGGGAGGAAGGAGAAGAAGAAGAAAGGAAGGUGAAGGAAGAGGAGAAGGGAAAGAAGUAGCUGCGGCUGCGGCUGCGGCUGUGGCAGCUGCAGCUGUGGUAGGGAAAGAGGAAGAGGAAGGAAGAAGGGAAGGAGAGGAAGAAGAGAAGGGUAAGAAGGGGCUGCGGCUGCGGCGAUGGCAGCUGCAGUUGGAAGAGAAGGAGAGGAAGAUGAGUAGGGGAGGAAGAAGAGGCUGCGG